ACGCUGUUUCGGUCGCCUCUCCAUCCCCACUCGCAUCGUAAAGCACGUGGCCAAGGCUGCCGCGAUGCCUCGGCCGCUCGACGCGCUCGACUAUCUCCGCCGUCGCUCGGCAACGUUCGCUGAGCGCAUGCGUCACGUGGCCGGUACGCACUACGUUAACUACGUAGCUGCGCGGCCGCCUAACCUUAUCUAACUGUUACCCCGUCGUCGCCGUUGAUCGGACGUACAACGUAUCGGUUCCGUGCUUCUCGUCGUACGUUCCAAGUUUUGAUUGUGCGCGAAUAAUGCCGGCCGGCGUGCCGGCUAGUCGGCAACGAUCGUCGAGUCGCCGCCACUGCCAUGUUGUUUUGUCCUCUACCCGCCUGUAAUCACCUGUACUGGUGAUCGGCGGACGAUCCGUGCUUCUUUCGUGUUCUUCGUGUUGAAGUUUUCGUGCGGAUAUAACGUCGGGUGUGUCGAGUGUGGUAGCAGCGUGAGUGCCAAGAUUGUAUGCAGAUCGUGUCUCGUUCGUGAAGCGGUACGAGUUUGUCGCGUCUCGUCGCUGGCUCGUGUUCGUGUGACGUUACUCGAUUCUCCGCUUGCUCCGCAAUUUUUGUUGCUCCUGAUCGACUGCGAUCGUACAUAUCACUUUUUGCUUUUGUUCGCGUAUUAUGUGUUAUCCGCGCAGUAUCGUGAAUGCCGAAUAAAAUAUCGGGCGGCCGGUAUUAAUGUGUAAUUCGAGAAUGAGAGAUCGGCAGCGAAAUGACGAUCGCCGUAGAAUAAUUCGAAUCAACAGGAAAUGACACACAGCAGCAGUAACAGCAGCAGCAACAGUAACAACUGAGUCAGGUGAGUUCGCAUCCCGAUAAAGACGAGGCCUCUGAUAAGACUCGCUAUUCAAUUUAUUCGCGCGAGUCUCCAGGGACUCCCGCGGCUCGUGCGUCCUGUGCGUAUCGCACUACAUCGUGCAUUAGAUACCGCGGUAGAUUCUCGCGCGCGAUAUCGCGGACACGUACGACGAUGCGGACUGGAGUGGGCAACGAAGACGAUGUUGUUUUCUUCGGACUGGCAUGUUCCAUGAAACGUGUUUACGAGCACUCGGGGAGCACGUGCCCUUUUUUCGGGAGGCUCACAUAAACCACGAGAACGUAUUAGCAGUCGUGAAUCGGAGGAUCGCAAUUCUAAAACUAGCGUCAGACUCGUGCUUACCUUUUUUGAGUUUAUAAAUAAAAAUGCUUCUGCGUUAAUGAAUUAAUACGAGUGAUAAACCAUCAAGAUUGGAUAAGUAAUGUAUAUUUUUAACUGAAAAGUUAAAGUUAAUAGCUUAUAAAAUUAAUUUAGUUAAAAGUUACAUGAAUAAAAAAUCAACUAAUUA
This is a long non-coding RNA of Solenopsis invicta (red fire ant), 1354 nucleotides long. RefSeq lists it as uncharacterized. The record is from RefSeq and is a predicted model, not a curated record. The transcript has 3 exons. NCBI's taxonomy places the organism in Eukaryota, Metazoa, Arthropoda, Insecta, Hymenoptera, Formicidae.